UGAGGAAUAUUGGGCAAUGCCCGCAAGGGUGACCCAGCAACGCCGCGUGGAGGAUGAAUGUCGUAAGAUUGUAAACUCCUGUUAGAGGGGAAGAAUAGUACCGGUUGGACCGGUAUAUGACUGUACCCUCAGAGAAAGCCCCGGCUAACUACGUGCCAACAGCCGCGGUAAUACGUAGGGGGCAAGCGUUGUCCGGAUUUAAUGGGUGUAAAGGGCGCGCAGGCGGGAUAAAAAGUCAGUGGUGAAAUCCUACAGCUUAACUGUAGAACUGCCUUUGAUACUUUUAUUCUUGAGUUCGGGAGAGAGAGACGGAAUUCCAGGUGUAGUGGUGAAAUACGUAGAUAUCUGGAAGAACACCAGUUGCGAAGGCGGUCUCUUGGUCCGACACUGACGCUGAGGCGCGAAAGCGUGGGGAGCAAACA
Molecule: ribosomal RNA, 422 nt
Filed under: uncultured bacterium
Lineage: Bacteria
Description: bacterial SSU rRNA
Rfam family: Bacterial small subunit ribosomal RNA
Source: RNAcentral